CUAANACAUGCAAGUCGAACGGGACCCGCAAGGGUUCAGUGGCGGACGGGUGCGUAACACGUGAGGAACAUGUCCUUCGGCGGGGAAUAGCCGGCCUAACGGCCGGGUAAUACCGCGUACGACCGUUGGGGCGCAUGCCCUGGCGGUGAAAGCAGCAAUGCGCCGAUGGAGUGCCUCGCGGCCUAUCAGCUAGUUGGUGAGGUAAUGGCUCACCAAGGCGACGACGGGUAGCUGGUYUGAGAGGAUGAUCAGCCACAUUGGGACUGAGACACGGCCCAGACUCCUACGGGAGGCAGCAGUGGGGAAUAUUGCGCAAUGGGCGAAAGCCUGACGCAGCGACGCCGCGUGUGGGAUGAAGGUCUUCGGAUUGUAAASSASUGUCGGGAGGGACGAAUGCGGCGCAAGGCGAGUGACGGUACCUCCAAAGGAAGCACCGGCUAACUCUGUGCCAGCAGCCGCGGUAAUACAGAGGGUGCGAGCGUUGUCCGGAAUCACUGGGCGUAAAGGGCGCGUAGGCGGCUUGGUAAGUAGGGGGUGAAAUCUUGCGGCUCAACUGCAAGGCUGCCUCCUAAACUGCCUGGCUGGAGCACGGUAGAGGCAGAUGGAAUUCCCGGUGCAGCGGUGGAAUGCGUAGAGAUCGGGAAGAACAUCGGUGGCGAAGGCGGUCUGCUGGGCCGUUGCUGACSCUGAGGCGCGACNGCGUGGGGAGCAAACAGGAUUAGAUACC
RNAcentral lists this ribosomal RNA (727 nucleotides) under uncultured bacterium. RNAcentral's name for it is "bacterial SSU rRNA". It matches the Rfam family "Bacterial small subunit ribosomal RNA", at positions 48 to 786 of the family's 1533-position model. The record is from RNAcentral.